UUGACCUCGGAUCAGGUAGGAAUACCCGCUGAACUUAAGCAUAUCAAUAAGCGGAGGAAAAGAAACCAACAGGGAUUGCCCUAGUAACGGCGAGUGAAGCGGCAACAGCUCAAAUUUGAAAUCUGGCUCUCGGGCCCGAGUUGUAAUUUGUAGAGGAUGCUUUUGGUGCGGUGCCUUCCGAGUUCCCUGGAACGGGACGCCAUAGAGGGUGAGAGCCCCGUCUGGUUGGA
This 230-nucleotide ribosomal RNA is filed under the name Fusarium robinianum. Its description in RNAcentral is "Rectifusarium robinianum partial 28S ribosomal RNA". It matches the Rfam family "Eukaryotic large subunit ribosomal RNA", at positions 1 to 233 of the family's 3401-position model. The record is from RNAcentral. Lineage: Eukaryota; Fungi; Ascomycota; Sordariomycetes; Hypocreales; Nectriaceae.